AUUGAACGCUGGCGGCAUGCCUUACACAUGCAAGUCGAACGGCAGCACGGGUGCUUGCACCUGGUGGCGAGUGGCGAACGGGUGAGUAAUACAUCGGAACAUGUCCUGUAGUGGGUGAUAGCCCGGCGAAAGCCGGAUUAAUACCGCAUACGAUCUACGGAUGAAAGCGGGGGACCUUCGGGCCUCGCGCUAUAGGUGUGGCCGAUGGCUGAUUAGCUAGUUGGUGGGGUAAAGGCCAACCAAGGCGACGAUCAGUAGCUGGUCUGAGAGGACGACCAGCCACACUGGAACUGAGACACGGCACAGACUCCUACGGGAGGCAGCAGUGGGGAAUUUUGUACAAUGGGCGAAAGCCUGAUCCAGCAAUGCCGCGUGUGUGAAGAAGGCCUUCGGGUUGUAAAGCACUUUUGUCCGGAAAGAAAUACUUGGCCCUAAUACGGUCGGGGGAUGACGGUACCGGAAGAAUAAGCACCGGCUAACUACGUG
RNAcentral lists this ribosomal RNA (486 nucleotides) under uncultured bacterium. Its description in RNAcentral is "partial 16S ribosomal RNA". It matches the Rfam family "Bacterial small subunit ribosomal RNA", at positions 30 to 507 of the family's 1533-position model. The record is from RNAcentral.